Molecule: ribosomal RNA, 271 nt
Filed under: uncultured bacterium
Lineage: Bacteria
Description: partial 16S ribosomal RNA
Rfam family: Bacterial small subunit ribosomal RNA
Source: RNAcentral
UACGGAAGGUGCGAGCGUUAAUCGGAAUUACUGGGCGUAAAGCGCACGUAGGCGGUUACUUAAGUCGGAUGUGAAAGCCCUGGGCUUAACCUGGGAAUUGCAUCCGAUACUGGGUGACUAGAGUACGGUAGAGGGGGGUGGAAUUCCAGGUGUAGCGGUGAAAUGCGUAGAUACCGGAAGGAACACCAGUGGCGAAGGCGACUCACUGGGCUUUAACUGACGCUGAGGUGCGAAAGCGUGGGGAGCAAACAGGAUUAGAAACCCUUGUAGU